AACAACUGAGGUGCAAUAUACUUCUGGGGAUUAAUGACCAUCUGGGAGGAAUCAGUGGCCCAGGAAAGCCUGCUGGGUGUUAGUGUAUAGGAGAUAUCUUGUACCAUGGUCAUU
This 114-nucleotide microRNA precursor is filed under the name Pelodiscus sinensis (Chinese soft-shelled turtle). RNAcentral's name for it is "miRNA (ENSPSIG00000019672.1)". Lineage: Eukaryota; Metazoa; Chordata; Testudines; Trionychidae. The record is from RNAcentral.